RNAcentral lists this long non-coding RNA (3020 nucleotides) under Homo sapiens (human). RNAcentral describes it as "HSALNT0017918". The record is from RNAcentral. Lineage: Eukaryota; Metazoa; Chordata; Mammalia; Primates; Hominidae.
CUUGAUUCUGUGAGUUAAGACCUGAUAAACUUUUAGACUCAAUUCUGAGAGGAAAAGCUAGUAUCGUUCAAAAAUUACAGGUCACCCACCAGAACAAUAUUAGUUGAACAUUGUUUCCAAGAUUAAUAAAGGACCUUUUGCAAAGAUGUAGAAAGAAUAUUCAAAUGUAGAAAAUCUUCCAAAUACGAAGCAGAGAGUUAAUGCCUCCUGAAUGCAUUUAAGUAGAAGCAUAUUAUUGUGCUUAUUUUAUUUGGUCUUUUUUAAUGUUUAUUUCUAACCGUCUACAUUGUGGGGCCAUUUAAUUUCUACAUGUUUGUAAGAAUACAAUAAGGUACAUGUAGUUAUCAAAGCAAUUUCGUUUUUAAAGAAGGCAGUGCUUCAAGUUUUUUUCUAAUUUUUUCUUAUAAAUACCAUUUUUAAAUUUGAGAUCAUGUCUGUGAGAUUUCAAGAUCAAACUAAUAUUACUGUUCCUUGCAAAAAUAACAUACUAUUAAAUAACUUAAAGGUAAUAUACAUUUUAACACCAAAAACUCCUCACUCAACAGUAUGGCUUGUCAAAAUGUUCCAAUUUAAUCUUUACUUAAGUGGACUUGUAGGGGUUUCUCAGACAUUAAGAUGGAACACUUUUUUUCUUUUUUAAAUAGAGAUGGGAUCUCUCUCUGUUGCCCGGGCUGAUCUUGAACUCCUGUCCUCAAGCAGUCCUCCUGCCUCAGCCUCCCAAAGUGGUGGGAUUACAGGUGCAAACCACCAUGCCAGCCCAAGCUUGAAGAAUUUUUUUUGAGACAGGUUCUCGCACUGUUACGUGGGCUGCAGUGCAGUGGUAACAGUCAUAGCUCCCUGCUCAUAAACUCCUUGGGGCUCAAGCAGUCCUUCUGCCUUACCCUUCCAAGUACCUGAGACCACAGUUUAUUUUUGUAGAGACAGGGUCUCGCUAUGUUGCCUAUGCUGGUCUGCAACUCCUUGGCCUCCGUAAGUACUGUACUUGCACCCAGCCAAGAUUGGAGAAUUUUAUACAGUUCUUACAAGAAGACUGAACUAUUAAAUAUCAAAAAACAUAUGGGACUGUGCUACAACUUCAGAAAGAUUAGCCUGAACAAUGAAGAGAGAAGUAUAGGCUGAAUUGAAAGAAAUGGAGGAGCCUAGUACAAUGAGCCUUCUAGAACGUAACUGAGAAUUUGAAUUUGGUCAUAAAAGCAUUAAAGGGAGGGGCUAAAGGGGAUGGCAUAAUCUGAUUUAUGGUGAAUGGAUAGAUGGGGGCAAGAGUGCAGUUAGGAAGGUGAUCAGUCAAGAGUUUAUGGAGACUUGGAGUGAGGUUGCAGCAUUAUCCAACCUAAAAGCUUGUUUCAGCUAUAGAGUUCACCACAAUCUUAAUUCUUAAUCUUGGAAGAUUCUGAAUUUUUAAAGUCAUUGUCUUAUAAGUUGUGAACAACAAAGAGUGUAACUCAGCAAAUUUAUUUCUUCGGUGGUUAUACAAUCUUCAGCCAGCAGUAAGUCACUUGGGAAACUCAUGACCAAAAUGUUCAUGAGCUAUUUUGGGGGACCAGUUCUCUAAGUCAGCAGACCUAGAAACUCUCCAGCCCUGGUCCUAAAUAUAAGAGUAAUUAGUCAUUGCCUUUAAUACAAUUAUGCAGAUAAAACUGGGGUUAUUAGAAGUCUGCAUACUUAGAAAUGAAACAUUAGGAGGUGCUACCUCAGAUCUUGAGCCUAUUAUGUUACAUGGCUAACAUUAAAACUUUACCGACAGUAGAAAUUUGUUGUUCCUCUCAGAGCAGUUAGCUAACAAAUCCACAUGUGGCUUCUGGUUAAUGUAUUAGGCAUUUCUGGACUGUUGGACUGAAGAGAAAAUCAUAGUGAUAUUCUAGACAUAUUUGUUGAGCUCCCCCUUUGUGCAGGGAACUAUGUACUGUGUACUAAGAAUAGAUAUAAAUAAGAUUUGAUCCCUACCCUCAAGAAGCUUAUUGUUCAGUGGGAGAAGCAGAUAAGUAUACUGGGUGUAAGUACCAUAAUACACAAAAUCUUUAGGUAUAUGCAGGAAAAACAUAGAGUAGUGGGAGAUUAAGGACUAGUAGAGGCAGUUUUCAGGAUUUUUUUUUUGUGUGAGAAUUAAGCUAUAAGAGGCAAAGGAACAUCUAAGCCCAAUGGAAGCAGAUUUUUAAAGUAUGAGUAGCUCCCAUGGCCAAAACUGGAACAAUUUGAACAACGAAAUGAAGUAACAUGGAAUUAUAACCCAAAGUAUAAAAUAAAUAUGUGAAUCCAUGUUGAUAUAAACAAAUGAUUGAAUAAAUAUAUAGAGAAGAGACAAAUUUUCCAUGAAGAAUUCCAAAUAAUUUAUGUAGGUAAAUCAAAGAGAUGGAGCAUAACUUUCCACUCCAGUAUGGUCUCUGCUUAUUGACUUCCCUCCCAAAGAGUACAAUAUGGAAGAGGAGAAAAAAAGAGUCAAUUUAAAAUUGAGAAGCCUUACAAAGACUACCUUGGCCAGGUGAUCAAGGUCAACAUCCAAAGUGCCUGAGAAAAACACCAGAUGAAUCCCUGUUGAGAGACAACCUGCUAUAGCAGGGGUCUCCAACCCCCAGGCUGCAGACUGGUACCAGUCCGUGGCCUGUUAGGAACCAGGCCGAACAGCAGGAGGUGAGUGGUGGGUAAGUGAGCAUCACUGCCUGAGCUCCGCCGCCUGUCAGAUCAGUGGCGGCAUUAGAUUCUCAUAGGAGUAUAGUCCCUAUUGUGAACUGCACAUGUGAGGGAUCUAGGUUGCAUGCUUUUUAUGAGUAUCUAAUGCCUGAUGAACUGACAUGGAACAGUUUCAUUCCCAAACCACUACCCCACCUCUGAUUGUUUCAGCUAAUAGAGUUCUCCACAGUUAAUCUUGGAAGAUUCUUAAUUUUUAAAGUCAUUAUUGAGUUUCCAUAGACGUCUGGUCUAUGGAAAAACUGUCUUCCACGAAACUGGUCCCUGGUGCUAAAAAGGUUGGGGACCACUAUACUAUAGUACCUGAUACUAAAUACCACAAAUUAGUUCUUCAA